Molecule: ribosomal RNA, 978 nt
Filed under: Triticum aestivum (bread wheat)
Lineage: Eukaryota; Viridiplantae; Streptophyta; Magnoliopsida; Poales; Poaceae
Description: partial small subunit ribosomal RNA
Source: RNAcentral
AUGCCGUGUCACAUUCACACGAAGAAAGAUGAAGAGGGGAAUAUCAUUUACCCAAAGCACACCACUCGCCAAUGUCGACUCCUGAUCCAGCAGUUUCAGGGAAAACAGUCUAAGGACAAGGAGAAGGAGUCGGACAAGGCUGAAGACAAAGAGGACAGUGAGGGAGGAUAUCCGCAUAUCAACUCCACUCUGAUGAUCUUUGCAGAUGUGGAAAGCAGAAGUCGACUGAAAGUGAUUAACCGAGAGGUGAACAUGGUUGCCCCAGCAAAGGCAAAUUAUCUGAAGUGGUCUCAAACACCCAUCACAUUCGACCAAUCUGAUCACCCGACUCAUAUUGCCACCCCCGGGAGGCAAGCUUUGGUGGUCGAUCCAGUUGUCGAAGGCACUCGACUGACAAAGGUGCUGAUGGAUGGUGGAAGUGGGCUGAACUUAUUGUAUGCAGACACAUUGAAAGGUAUGGGCAUUCCGAUGUCCCGACUGAGCACUAGUAACAUGAGCUUCCAUGGAGUUAUACCAGGGAAGAAGGCCGAGUCACUCGGCCAGAUAGCUUUGGACGUAGUGUUUGGUGAUUCGAAACAUUUUCGCAAAGAAAAGUUGACGUUUGAGGUCGUGGAUUUUCAAAGUGCAUAUCAUGCCAUUUUGGGGAGACCAGCCUAUGCACGGUUCAUGGCUCGACCAUGUUACGUGUACCUCAAAUUGAAGAUGCCCGGUCCCAAAGGUGUGAUCACUGUCACCGGUGAUAGGAAAAAGGCAGAGGAGUGCUUUCAGAAGGGCUCCAAGAUUGCCGAUUCCCAAGUGACAGCGGUCGAGUUCGAAGAAUACAAGCAAAAUGCAGAUCCGAGUGACUUGCUGCGAUCCAAGAAGCCCGCCACAGAGUCUGCAUUCCAGUCAUCCGGUGAGACGAAGCCUGUUCACAUUCACCCGACCGACCCCGAAGCAGCUCCGACCCGCAUCUCCACAACACUCGACCCAAAAUAG